This 261-nucleotide long non-coding RNA is filed under the name Mustela putorius furo (domestic ferret). RNAcentral's name for it is "lncRNA (ENSMPUG00000024920.1)". The record is from RNAcentral. Lineage: Eukaryota; Metazoa; Chordata; Mammalia; Carnivora; Mustelidae.
GUUAGACUCCAUUUACUGUGCAGCGUCGCUGAAAAUUCAAUCAGAAGUCAGAUGAGUCUCGAUGGUUUGUUUCAUUCUUUCUUAUAAGAUCAUACAUUAAGAUUGGCAAAGAGAACAUAGUGCUCUGGCCUGUGUUGCUGUGUUCCCCGCAGUCUUGGUUCUCUGGUUCCCGCUGCCAGUCACUGGAUCAAACCUCUGGUGAGUCUUCCUACACUCAGUAUUUACUGUUAAUAUCCUCAUCUGUCCCUAGUUUUGUGACUG